Small nuclear RNA from Neogale vison (American mink), 105 nucleotides. The record is from Ensembl. Lineage: Eukaryota; Metazoa; Chordata; Mammalia; Carnivora; Mustelidae.
GUGCUCGCUUGGGCAGCACAUACACUAAAAUUGGAACAAUACAGAGAAGAUGAGCAUGCCCCUGUGUAUGGGUGACCACAGAUUCAUGAGGUGUUCCAUAUUUUU